UAAUACGAAGGGGGCUAGCGUUGCUCGGAAUCACUGGGCGUAAAGCGCACGUAGGCGGAUCCUUAAGUCAGAGGUGAAAUCCCAAGGCUCAACCUUGGAACGGCCUUUGAUACUGGGGAUCUCGAGUCCGGAAGAGGUUGGUGGAACUGCGAGUGUAGAGGUGAAAUUCGUAGAUAUUCGCAAGAACACCAGUGGCGAAGGCGGCCAACUGGUCCGGCACUGACGCUGAGGUGCGAAAGCGUGGGGAGCAAACAGG
RNAcentral lists this ribosomal RNA (256 nucleotides) under uncultured archaeon. Its description in RNAcentral is "partial 16S ribosomal RNA". It matches the Rfam family "Bacterial small subunit ribosomal RNA", at positions 521 to 776 of the family's 1533-position model. The record is from RNAcentral.